This 431-nucleotide long non-coding RNA is filed under the name Homarus americanus (American lobster). RNAcentral describes it as "uncharacterized LOC121874520". Lineage: Eukaryota; Metazoa; Arthropoda; Malacostraca; Decapoda; Nephropidae. The record is from RNAcentral.
CGGACGUCAACACAGAACACUGGCACGCGACGACGCUACAACAUCUUCUGUACUAACACGCUCCUCAAACGACCAUAAACCCUAUACGAGUUGACCGAGGUAGCUGCAGUGUCACCACAAGAACAAUUCGGAGCGUCUACAAAAUUUACCUGUUGCUGGAGAACUCGAUCGCAACAAUUCCUUUCCUACUCCAGUUCUACCGCGGUUAGUGGAUCCUUCCCACAGCAUUACAGUGAGUUUCCUAGUGUUAAACUACAAGAAAUUUGUCUCCAAAAAAACUGCUUUCCAGUAUCUUUGUUAUUUCUUCUACCCCAUUUGUGGGUCGUGAGCUGUAUUGCAUUACAUUCUGUGCAAGUAAAGUCAAACUUGUACAUAUUGAAUAUCCAGUAUAUGUAACCAAUAAAGUUUUUCUAUUUAUGGAAUAAUCCAAA